GGUUUACGCAUUAGUUUUACGUGACUGCUUCGUUACAUGCAUAAUUUCAGUUACGUGUCGUUAGUGCUAUGUUUUUUAUAUUUUCGUUUCUUCUUAUUCCAAUGUUUGGAGAAGCAGACCAAGACUUACACCUGCUACCAGCUGUCAUCGCUGGUGGAGACCUUGCGAAGAGCUGAUGACCCGUCCAAGGAGUCAUACCAUCUGCAUAAUGAUCAAAUGAAAACAAACCAACCUCGACAACGUAAAGGUUUCAGAGGAAAGGAUUAAGUGACGGUGAAAAGUGGGAAAUGGAGUAGCGAAACGAACUUCGUUCCAACAUGAGAAUCUGAA
Cryptotermes secundus is the source of this 330-nucleotide long non-coding RNA. RefSeq lists it as uncharacterized. The transcript is spliced from 3 exons. The record is from RefSeq and is a predicted model, not a curated record. NCBI's taxonomy places the organism in Eukaryota, Metazoa, Arthropoda, Insecta, Blattodea, Kalotermitidae.